RNAcentral lists this unclassified non-coding RNA (236 nucleotides) under uncultured fungus. Its description in RNAcentral is "sequence contains ITS2". The stretch from base 1 to 52 matches the Rfam family "5.8S ribosomal RNA", at positions 103 to 154 of the family's 154-position model. Lineage: Eukaryota; Fungi. The record is from RNAcentral.
AACGCACAUUGCGCCCCUUGGUAUUCCGAGGGGCAUGCCUGUUCGAGCGUCAUUAUAACCACUCAAGCCUGGCUUGGUAUUGGGGUUCGCGUGCUCGCGGCCCUUAAAAUCAGUGGCGGUGCCGUCUGGCUCUAAGCGUAGUAAUUCUCUCGCUAUAGAGUCCUGUCGGUUACUUGCCAGAACCCCCACAUUCUUAGGUUGACCUCGGAUCAGGUAGGGAUACCCGCUGAACUUAA